UUUAAAAAGUACCUGAGCAGAUUUCAUCUCAACAGACAAAGCUGAUGGCAGAAGAUGUCGGAGAAGAACUUCAGGCCGUGUACUGAAAAGUAGAUCAAAUCAGCUCGUGCUCCUUCUGCUUC
Molecule: non-coding RNA, 122 nt
Organism: Maylandia zebra (zebra mbuna)
Lineage: Eukaryota; Metazoa; Chordata; Actinopteri; Cichliformes; Cichlidae
Source: RefSeq, a predicted model, not a curated record